AUACCGAGCGGACUCCGUCGCC
RNAcentral lists this microRNA (22 nucleotides) under Human betaherpesvirus 6B. Its description in RNAcentral is "hhv6b-miR-Ro6-4-3p". Its record names the gene hhv6b-miR-Ro6-4-3p. Lineage: Duplodnaviria; Heunggongvirae; Peploviricota; Herviviricetes; Herpesvirales; Orthoherpesviridae. The record is from miRBase by way of RNAcentral.